Molecule: unclassified non-coding RNA, 192 nt
Filed under: uncultured fungus
Lineage: Eukaryota; Fungi
Description: sequence contains ITS1
Source: RNAcentral
AUACACCCCGCGCAGCAACAUUGUUACAUGUUUGCGUUGGGGAAACGAUGUGUGACACCCAGGCAGGCGUGCCCUCGGCCUAAUGGCUUCGGGCGCAACUUGCGUUCAAAGACUCGAUGGUUCACGGGAUUCUGCAAUUCACACCAAGUAUCGCAUUUCGCUGCGUUCUUCAUCGAUGCCGACGUCAUAACC